ACGGAAGGCAGCAGUGGGGAAUAUUGCACAAUGGGGGAAACCCUGAUGCAGCGACGCCGCGUGAGUGAAGAAGUUAUUCGUAAUGUAAAGCUCUAUCAGCAGGGAAGAAAAUGACGGUACCUGACUAAGAAGCCCCGGCUAACUACGUGCCAGCAGCCGCGGUAAUACGUAGGGGGCAAGCGUUAUCCGGAUUUACUGGGUGUAAAGGGAGCGUAGACGGUCGUGCAAGUCUGAUGUGAAAGGCAGGGGCUCAACUCCUGGACUGCAUUGGAAACUGUAAGACUUGAGUGCCGGAGAGGUAAGCGGAAUUCCUAGUGUAGCGGUGAAAUGCGUAGAUAUUAGGAGGAACACCAGUGGCGAAGGCGGCUUACUGGACGGUAACUGACGUUGAGGCUCGAAAGCGUGGGGAGCAAACAGGAUUAGAUACCCUGGUA
Molecule: ribosomal RNA, 434 nt
Filed under: uncultured Lachnospiraceae bacterium
Lineage: Bacteria; Bacillati; Bacillota; Clostridia; Lachnospirales; Lachnospiraceae
Description: partial 16S ribosomal RNA
Rfam family: Bacterial small subunit ribosomal RNA
Source: RNAcentral